Long non-coding RNA from Acinonyx jubatus (cheetah), 1210 nucleotides. RefSeq lists it as uncharacterized. The record is from RefSeq and is a predicted model, not a curated record. The transcript has 3 exons. NCBI's taxonomy places the organism in Eukaryota, Metazoa, Chordata, Mammalia, Carnivora, Felidae.
CAGAUGAGGACUUUCCCAUCCCAAUAAUAAGAAGGAAGAAAGGAUAAAGAAGAGGCAACAUGCACCAAAAGUUGCCCAAUGUCACUUCUGCUUACAUCUUAUUGGCUGGAAUUUACUAAUAUGGCCACAUCUAGCUCUCAAGGAAGACUGAGAAAUGUAGUCUUUAUGCCAGCAUCCACAGGUCCAGCUAAAAUUUCUGGCAUUAGGGGAAAAAGUGAUAUCAGAGAAGAGCUGCUAAGUGGUACAACUGGGAUAAGAACCCAGCGCUGAGGGACUCCAGAGACCCUACUCCGUCAAGAACAGGUUUUAUCGCCUCCUCUGGAAGAGAGAACGCGGAGCCAUCAACCUUCUCCGAUAAGAGUUGCGAGUUUUUCUUCUUGUGACAGUCAUGUCUCUGCCUCCUUAAAACCCCUCUUGAAAAGCCUGUCGAAGGAAGUGUCUCCAAAAAGGCAAAAAAAGAAAAAAAGGAAGGAGGACUACUGAAGUAAAAUUAAGCUUCAAGGAAACUGAAACUUCCAGAAAACUGAAGAUAUGCUCUAAAGGCAGUAAUAAAAAAAUUUUCUUAAUGACUAUAGACAAGUAAGUCAAUGAUGUAGAAGACAAACUCGAGAAGGAAUGCAGACUACAUAAAAUGAUGUGAGUAGAGAUGUAUGAUGUGGAAAACAAAGAAUGAAAAUGUAGCAUUAGAACGAAAGGCACAAAAUACCCGCACUCAGACAUUUCACAGUGGCCAGAUUACAUCCUAACAGCCUCAAAUGGGAAACCCAAAUAUCCAUCCUGAAUGAAAUGGAUACAGAAAUUGAAGUAUACUGACAUACAAUGGAUACUCAUGCCAUGUAUGAAUGAAAACGUAUGAAUUCAGACAGAGGUAAAUUUAAAGAUUAAGACAGCAGCAUCGUAAGAUUAGUCAGUCAAUAGGAUUAAGAAGAUGGUUUUCACAAAAUUAGAAUUGGUAAACCUAAUAAACUUUUACAUGAUACACUCUGAAAGUGCAAGGUAUCGCUAAUAGGGGCACCUGGGUAGCUUCGUUGGUUAAGCGUCAGGUUCCUGAUCCCGGCUCAGGUCACGAUCUUGCAGUUCAUGAAACUGAGCCCCAUGGGGGGUUCUGAGCUGAUAGCACAGAGCCCGCUUGGAAUUCUCUCUCUCCAUCUCUGUACCUCUCCCGCUCGUGCUCUCUCUCACUCUCUUUCUUCCUCCCUCUCUGCCCCUG